RNAcentral lists this ribosomal RNA (329 nucleotides) under uncultured eukaryote. Its description in RNAcentral is "partial 18S ribosomal RNA". It matches the Rfam family "Eukaryotic small subunit ribosomal RNA", at positions 1470 to 1796 of the family's 1831-position model. The record is from RNAcentral.
CCCUUAGAUGUUCUGGGCCGCACGCGCGCUACAAUGAUGAAUUCAACGAGUUUAUAGCCUUGGUUGAAAAGCCUGGGUAAUCUUUUGAACUUUCGUCGUGAUGGGGCUAGACCCUUGCAAUUAUUGGUCUCCAACGAGGAAUUCCUAGUAAACGCAAGUCAUCAGCUUGCAUUGAUUACGUCCCUGCCCUUUGUACACAUUGCCCGUCGCACCUACCGAUUGAAUGGUCCGGUGAAAUCUUCGGAUUGAGACUUUGUUUUCUUCACGGAAAACGCUGUUUUAAAAAGUUGAUUAAACCUUACCAUUUAGAGGAAGGUGAAGUCGUAACA